CAGGCAUUGUUCUAGUAGUAGUCAUAAUACAUCAAAAAAACCUAACAGAUGAAAUUGGACACAGAAUUUCUUUUAUAACUUUAGUAUAUGUUAGUUUUCAUCUAACGAUGUUGUAUUUAGAUAACGUAAGCUACAAAGAACUAAAAUAAAGAAACAGAAGGCAAUAAAAGGCAUCUUUACACCAUGACUAAAUUUUUUCAAUGAAAAAAAAUCAUAUUUGCCUAGGUCUGGCCUCAGUAAACGUAUUCACCAAUGUGAUUGAAAAUGGAAAGAAGGAAAUAUGUACUGCUUGUUCUUUAUCUCUAGACAUUAUAUCCUCUAUAGCUAAUUUCAACAUAUUUGUUUAACCAACUUCUAUCCGGUAUGUUUUUUCCCAAAGCAAGUUUGCCAGCUUUUGCAUUUUAAAAAAUUAUGGCCUGGCACGAUGGUGAGACACCUGAGGCAAAGAUGAAAUAUUAGUCACCUGAAAAAGGUGGAACAGGGAUCUAAAGCGUGAACAUUGUACAAAACUGAAGAUUGAAAACUUCAAAAUGAAAAAGGUAAGGAAAAUGUCGAAUUUAAUAUAAAGCUUCUCAAACAGUUGCAUCUCACCAUAAGUUGGCGGGAAAGUGAGGGUGAAGUAAAUAAAUUACAAGAACAUGACGAAUUUACUCUGUCUAAGUUGACAUUUAAUAUCGACAGCCAUAUUUCCCUAAAUAGAUAACUUAAUCUCAAUUCAAAUUAAGUUUCGGGGACAACUUCUCGUUAUAUACUUAAGUCCAUUAACAUUUACAUUUUCAUAUUAAGGAAGUUAAGGUUCUAAGCAUAACUCAAGGUUCAUAUGUCAUUGGAUCUUACAACUGAACAUUCAAUUGUAUCAGCAACCACAGUUGGAGAGUGGCGACAUAUUAAGCAUCAGAAAUGUUAUGAGGGAAUAGUAACAGAUAUUGCACCAGAUAAAUGAGGAAGAAGUCUCCAUAUUCAUCCCGAAAUAAUACAACAGAAGGAGUCAUUAUUCAUUAUUAAUGUUAGCUUAAUCAAUGAUUAUUUAUUUAAGCAAAAGUCGGUCAAAGAAACUUAACUGAACGUGGCAUAUUCACUUGCGCUAAUUCAGAAGCUCUGAGAUGGCCCGAAAAAACUGCUAAAUAUGCAUAUCAUCUGUUGCUUCCUGCUCCCUAAUUUUAAAUGACUGGUCCUCCAUACUAAGUAAAACUGUCGAGAUAUAGAGCCAUAAAAACCAUCCUUCUCCAGUAGGCAAAAGUUACAAAAAAUGAGAAAGAUAAUUCCUGAAAGUAGACAUUAUUUAGACCUUCACUAAUUUUGAUUUUGAUUAGUUGAAAAUCUCAAGUCAAGUAUAAUAACCGGAAUGUUUGGGAGGGAGAUGCACUCCUAGAUGAGUAAAUAUUCAAAAACAAACACUAAACGCAAGUCAAAUAAAGCAUAAACACAAGUAUAACUGCAGAGCCAUAUUUAAGAUUAUAAUCAUCUUUUUUACAACCAAAAGAUUAGACUAUGCACGCUUUACAAAAUCAAAAGACCUCAAAUACCAAGCUAGAACUGUGAACGAACAAAAUGACACUAUCAAUCAAAAUCCAAAAUUCAAUCAAGUUCUUUCUGAACCAUAAUAUCCAUGGAUUUGUUGUACCAGUAAUAGACCUUCAAAAUCAACUAUAACGGCAUAUAUUAACACAAUGGAUCGCUAUGUUUUAGCGCAGUUUCAUAAUUAUGCUUAGGGAUAAAUAAUAACAAUUGCAGUAGUCAUUUCAUAGCUAAUGCUUUCAAUUAUAUAGCUGAUUGAUUGUUGCAGUGGUAACCACUGCCAACAGAUAGACAAUACAAUAUUAGUUGUUCAUCUCUGACCCGAUAUUGCUUCUUUAGGCAUUUAUACACUGCAUCAAUGUUCGUGUACAUAUUACACUCAGAUGGCUGAUUUAGAGAAGGAUAAUUUUUCAUAUUAUGAGUAAUAGCUAACAACAAUAAGGAAAAUAAACCCAUAAGAUAAUGUAAAUACUAUCAUAAAACAUUCUCGAAAAUGAAAGGUUUUCCACUGAUGCUUCGUUAAAUAUCUAACUUCGUUUUUGUAAGGUUCUUAGAUAUCUAUUCGAGACUCCCAAACAAGUACUGUAUGACACUAAGAUAGAAAAAGGCAAAGAGAGACAAAAGAAAGAGUAGAAACAACAUUCUAAUUAUAUCUAAAUGCCCAAAUCAAACAUACAGCUAAAACUAAUGUAACAGGGAAGCAACAAUUUUUCUGGACAUUCAAUAACAACAAACCCAGUGUAAUCUCACAAGUGGGUCUAGGGAGGAUAAAAUGUACGCAAAUAUUAAUCAUACCUUUGUGUAGUAGGGAAGUUGUUUCUGAUAGACUCUCAACUGAAAGAGAAGUAAUCAAAGAUGGAUGCAAGAAAAAUAAUUUUUUGAACAUCCAUGAAGAUUUAAUGACCUUACUCAUACAAUAAGUUUUUCACCUUAUUGUAUGAUAAGAUAGGUACUCCAUAUUAACAUAUACCUAAAAGUAUACUUGAUGAACAGUAGCAUAUUAACUAAAUGACCUUCAACUACCUUUCUCAAUAAAAAACAUAUCAACUAAACUGUUAUACGUUGCAAGAAAUCAAAAAGUAAUUAUCCAUUUUUGAAACAAAAAACAUACCAUAGAGCCUCUACCUCACACACAAAAGACCAAAAAAUCAAAGAUGAAGUAUCUUCUGGGCAUAUUGAAAUCAUCAACUUCACUGAGUAUUUCAAAAUGAAAUAUUCAAGCUUUUAAUAGUUACGUACAACCAAUGAGACACAACUUCUUAAAGUCUGUUAUUCGUACUUAAAGGAGGUUAAUGGCUCAAGGAAACCCUAGGACACUAGGGUUACCUGGAGCUAGAAC
Molecule: long non-coding RNA, 2857 nt
Filed under: Capsicum annuum
Lineage: Eukaryota; Viridiplantae; Streptophyta; Magnoliopsida; Solanales; Solanaceae
Description: long non-coding RNA (CANN_LNC006629)
Source: RNAcentral